This 253-nucleotide ribosomal RNA is filed under the name uncultured bacterium. RNAcentral's name for it is "partial 16S ribosomal RNA". It matches the Rfam family "Bacterial small subunit ribosomal RNA", at positions 524 to 776 of the family's 1533-position model. The record is from RNAcentral.
UACGUAGGGGGCUAGCGUUGUCCGGAAUCAUUGGGCGUAAAGCGCGUGUAGGCGGUCCGGUAAGUCCGCUGUGAAAGUCGGGGGCUCAACCCUCGGAUGCCGGUGGAUACUGUCGGGCUUGAGUACGGAAGAGGAGAGUGGAAUUCCCGGUGUAGCGGUGAAAUGCGCAGAUAUCGGGAGGAACACCAAUGGCGAAGGCAGCUCGCUGGGACGGUACUGACGCUGAGGCGCGAAAGCGUGGGGAGCAAACAGG